AGCUGCUCCGCCGUCGUGACACUGAACGUCUUUCAUGAGGCAGAAAGUCUGAAUGUGUAUCAAGUCUGUUCCUCACACAAAUGAUCGCAUAUUCUCUCAAAAGAGUCAUAUAAAACUACCUAAAUGGUAGGUAAGUUAGCUGUUCACAAGGCUGUACGGAAAAAUAGCGAGAAGUUUGUGUUCCUGAGAAGAAAUGAAGUGACACGACGUAAGGAGUUUUUUGGACACCAUUAAAGAGCAUGACCAGCUUGUAUCAAGACAGAAACGAGACAACAUCCGACAGCACUCUGACGUGACGUCAUUCGCUGACAACGAGUGUGACGUGACAUCAUCUUUAAGGAGUCGACGUCUGCUCUUUGUAAAGCAAACACCAGCAUGACAAGGAACUCUCAAACAAGUUUUGUUCCGGUUUGGAAAAACAAAUCAAGUAAAUGAUGAGUUUUUAUUUUUGGGGGAACCAUGACCUUAAAUGUACCGUAAAUUUCCCUAGAGGUUGUAAAAUAUGACUAAUUUAUCAUCUCUAAACCUUGAAUAACAAAGGAAACUGUGAAACUGUCAAAAAAAAAUUCAACGCCCAUUCAGACAAAAGCAAUUGCAUGGAAAAACACGUCAAUGAAACAAAAUAGCAUGCUUAUUGU
Non-coding RNA from Misgurnus anguillicaudatus (oriental weatherfish), 638 nucleotides. The record is from RefSeq and is a predicted model, not a curated record. NCBI's taxonomy places the organism in Eukaryota, Metazoa, Chordata, Actinopteri, Cypriniformes, Cobitidae.